This 988-nucleotide ribosomal RNA is filed under the name Burkholderia latens. RNAcentral's name for it is "23S ribosomal RNA (partial)". It matches the Rfam family "Bacterial large subunit ribosomal RNA", at positions 178 to 1207 of the family's 2925-position model. The record is from RNAcentral. Lineage: Bacteria; Pseudomonadati; Pseudomonadota; Betaproteobacteria; Burkholderiales; Burkholderiaceae.
AGCGAACGCGGUGAACUGAAACAUCUAAGUAACCGCAGGAAAAGAAAUCAACCGAGAUUCCCAAAGUAGUGGCGAGCGAAAUGGGAUGAGCCUUGCACUCUUUAUUUGUAUUGUUAGCCGAACGCUCUGGAAAGUGCGGCCAUAGCAGGUGAUAGCCCUGUAGGCGAAAACAGUAUGAAAGAACUAGGUGUGCGACAAGUAGGGCGGGACACGUGAAAUCCUGUCUGAAGAUGGGGGGACCAUCCUCCAAGGCUAAAUACUCGUGAUCGACCGAUAGUGAACCAGUACCGUGAGGGAAAGGCGAAAAGAACCCCGGGAGGGGAGUGAAAUAGAUCCUGAAACCGCAUGCAUACAAACAGUCGGAGCCUCGUAAGGGGUGACGGCGUACCUUUUGUAUAAUGGGUCAGCGACUUACGUUCAGUAGCAAGCUUAACCGUAUAGGGCAGGCGUAGCGAAAGCGAGUCCGAAUAGGGCGUUCAGUUGCUGGGCGUAGACCCGAAACCAGGUGAUCUAUCCAUGGCCAGGAUGAAGGUGCGGUAACACGUACUGGAGGUCCGAACCCACUAACGUUGAAAAGUUAGGGGAUGAGCUGUGGAUAGGGGUGAAAGGCUAAACAAACCUGGAAAUAGCUGGUUCUCUCCGAAAACUAUUUAGGUAGUGCCUCGUGUCUCACCUUCGGGGGUAGAGCACUGUCAUGGUUGGGGGGUCUAUUGCAGAUUACCCCGCCAUAGCAAACUCCGAAUACCGAAGAGUGCAAUCACGGGAGACAGACAUCGGGUGCUAACGUCCGGUGUCAAGAGGGAAACAACCCAGACCGCCAGCUAAGGUCCCCAAAUAUAGCUAAGUGGGAAACGAAGUGGGAAGGCUAAAACAGUCAGGAGGUUGGCUUAGAAGCAGCCACCCUUUAAAGAAAGCGUAAUAGCUCACUGAUCGAGUCGUCCUGCGCGGAAGAUGUAACGGGGCUAAGCUAUAUACCGAAGCUGCGGAU